AACUAUCUUGUAUGCCGCAGCAGUCAAUGUGGUGCGCCCAGCAAAAAACAACUUGGAAAUCAUAUGAGUUACAGUGCUUAUCUUUUCGUAGCUUUGCGAAACGUAUGGUUCAUGAGAACAGCCUGAGAAAGUAGGUAUUCAGGGCCUUAAAAUACAAAAGCAAAGCAUACUGUGAGAUAUAACAUUCAAAUCCAGAGUCAGAUGAAGAUUGCAGCCCAUCCAUCCUCAUGUCAUACCACUCUGUCAACCGCUCAAGUGUGAAAGUGGUUAUCACCAAUAAUGUGCCUAUGUGUGUUGACAAUUCACAAGAUGUUCCUUUGAUGGAAAUGAAAGGCUGACUGAUCUGAAAUAAUAACUAGCCUUCUGCAGGAAUGCUGCAGAUUGAUGGUGCUGAUAUCAGUGUGCCAUGGAGUGGAAAAGCAAAUUAUGACUCAGCAUAUUGGGUGAAAUUGGGGAAUCUGCACCUGAACAUGAUUACUGUAUAAUGACAGGACCACAGUUGGAAAGGAGAUACAGUUGUUAGCAUUCCUGUUAACAACUUUGUCUUCACGUGUUAACAGCUUCACUCUUAUGUGCUCCUGAAAAAUUUCUUCUGUUAUCUGUGGCAUGGAUUUAACUACGCUACAACCAGGGUUCUCCUCAUCUUUAAGUCCUGUUGCAUUAACGUGUCUUGGAUUCAUGAUAGAAGAACAUAGAGAUUGUGUCUGCACUUAUC
Sander lucioperca (pikeperch) is the source of this 715-nucleotide long non-coding RNA. RefSeq lists it as uncharacterized. Lineage: Eukaryota; Metazoa; Chordata; Actinopteri; Perciformes; Percidae. The record is from RefSeq and is a predicted model, not a curated record. The transcript is spliced from 3 exons.